AUAUAACCUAAAUCAAGAACGAGAUGAACAGAAAUUAAUGGAUGAGU
Molecule: non-coding RNA, 47 nt
Filed under: Trypanosoma lewisi
Lineage: Eukaryota; Euglenozoa; Kinetoplastea; Trypanosomatida; Trypanosomatidae
Source: RNAcentral